UUUUCAUAUAUAUAGUUUUUUAAAAGUUUUUCAUAUACUUGUGUUGUAGAAUAUAUUUAAAAUCCUUGACUCACUUAAAAACAUUUGUUUUAGGGAUGAUUUUGAUGUUGAAGAUGUGAUACCUGUUCUACAAAUGAUAACAGCUGUAUCACAAAAACUGUCAUUGCUACCAGUUUCUAUAUGUCAGCUCACCAUUCAAACCUAGUGCUGUUUACAUCAUGUUAAAAUAUCUGAAGAUUCCGUCAGCUUGGUAACCAUUUGUGAAAUCAUAGAACAAAGUUAUUCAUCAUGUUCAAACAAGACCAUAAAUCUACCAGAUGAUCUUUUUAAACAUUCUUCAGAAAUGUUGAUGACUGUCCUGCCCAUCAUU
This is a long non-coding RNA of Daphnia magna, 370 nucleotides long. RefSeq lists it as uncharacterized. NCBI's taxonomy places the organism in Eukaryota, Metazoa, Arthropoda, Branchiopoda, Diplostraca, Daphniidae. The record is from RefSeq and is a predicted model, not a curated record. The transcript has 3 exons.